This 662-nucleotide long non-coding RNA is filed under the name Bos indicus x Bos taurus (hybrid cattle). RNAcentral describes it as "lncRNA (ENSBIXG00000021104.1)". Lineage: Eukaryota; Metazoa; Chordata; Mammalia; Artiodactyla; Bovidae. The record is from RNAcentral.
CGCCACCGACCGCCCGCCUAGCCGAGAGGAGGGAAGGGGCGUGGCCUGCACUUAAAGGGGCCGCGGCCCGCCUGGGCGAUCAGCUCUCCGAGUCUCGCGUCGUGAGCGCUGCCUGAAGCAGUGAGAUGCACGAGGGUUGGCUAUUCACUCUGGGGGUCUCCGCCGCUGAACUCUCCUGAAUGACUGACUGGAGGAAACUGGCCCUGGAGGGAGAGCACUUGAGGGGCUCUCCAGUGGGGCUUGUAAAGGAGUGGCUUAAAUGACUUUUCUUGAAAGCAGAGGAAACGCAUUGAAGGAAACCAGUGGCAUAGCUAACGGCCCUUCCUUCUGGAGUUGUCCUGGUUUUAAAUGUCUUGUCGCCUGGUCCACACAGUCACAUGGAGACAGGAAGAGGAAAGUCUCGAGUGUCCUCUCGCCCUGCUCAGUUUUCAGUGUGUGAGGCCCUUCGUGGUAAGCAUCUAUUGGGAGCCCGCUCAGACCCGUCUUGCGCAAUCCGUUUGCUCAGUAAUGACAUUCACCCAGAGGCCAGAAAAACCCUGAAGGAGUCGGGAAGCUGGGUGUCGUCAUUCUUCCAGCUGGUCCCAUGUGACAAAGUUUGGAUUAGAUAUUGCAGAUGGCUUCAAGGGGAUUACUUCCCAGACUUUGUCAUGAGAAGCAUUUGA